RNAcentral lists this long non-coding RNA (3342 nucleotides) under Callithrix jacchus (white-tufted-ear marmoset). RNAcentral describes it as "lncRNA (ENSCJAG00000070213.1)". Lineage: Eukaryota; Metazoa; Chordata; Mammalia; Primates; Cebidae. The record is from RNAcentral.
UUUCACGUAAAUUGGUGCAUGAUGGGGUGGGCUAGGCCCAAGGGCCAGAGCCUCAGAGACCCCGGGGCCUGGAUGCCCUAGCCAGCCUCCUCCUAAAGGGGAAGGAAGUUGGAAGAGGAAUAGGAUGGUCUCUCACCACCACUUCUCUUUCCCAAAAAAGUGAGAAGUGUGGAGAAAGGCACAGGAGAAACGUGAGGCAUCAGAGGAGACAGCAAGACAGCCCGCGUGAGAAUGAAGGAUGAAGGUGGCGGUGAAGCAGAUGAACCAGCUUCCCAAGCAUGGCGCAUUCUUAGGUUAGAAACGCUCUGCAAGACUUGGCAUGAAAACACGGCACUUUGGGAAAAUGAAACUGAGACAGGGUCUCCUUAUGUUUUCCAGACUGGUCUCAAACUCCUGGGCUCAAAGAAUCCUCCUGCCUCAGCCUCCCAAAGUGCUGGGAUUUACAGGCAUGAACCACCAUGCCCAGCCCAGCCCAGCCCACCAUUUGUCAGAAAGAAGCGAUGAUGUGUGUGCCUCAUUCUUGGAAAUAAUUCCUAGGAACAAAAGAACCAAAAUCUCAGUAACCAUCUCUGAAGGCAUCAGGAACUUAGAACCAAUAAUCUAAAACCUGAUACAGGAUCAAGAUGAGAUUCUUGAGGGAGGCCUCUCACAAGCUACCUGCUUAAACUGCAUUGCCCCACUAUGGACUCACUCUAUGAACCACUUCUUCAUGGCACUUGGCACAGUUGAAAUGUCACAUGUAUUUGUGUGAUUAUUUGCCUAAGAUUAGUUUCAAAUCCUCCCUUCCAUACACCACUUCCCCCAAGACUUAGAGGUCAAUAAAAAGCCAAUGUCCCCUUUCCCAGCACCUGGCACCAAGUAGGUAGUAUUCCAUGAAUAUUUGUUAAAGAAUGAUUUCACUUCCCAUUGUGUUAUUUUGAGAAUAUAUUUUCUGUUCCCUGAUACAUGCUUUAAUUUAGGGAAAAAGAAAAGGACCUUUUGCUUUUUGGGAGGAGGCAGUCAGAGGAUAUUGAGUCCUGUGCACAGCAGAAUCCCCAAGGGAUAAAGCGAUGAUCAUUGCCUCUUUGGUACCUGUGGCAAAGAAAGAACUGCAUGGAUUGGCCACUGGGGGCUGCGAAGUAGCUUUAGAACUUAAAAUACAGAGACUCUCAUGAAUUGAGACCCAUGAAAGCAAAAAAAAAAAAAUUAUGAAACAACAGGUUAUUGGGAAAAGAUAAUGGGUUUCAUUGUAGAUUUGUUCAGUUUGAGGAACAUUCCUGAACCUAAUACUUGAAAAAGAGCUGGAGAUUGGACAGGGUAUUAGUCUGUUCUCACAUUGCUAUAAGGAAAUACCUGAAACAAUAAUUUUAUAAGGAAUAGAGACUUCAUUGGCUCACAGUUCUGCUGGCUGUAUAAGAAGCAUGAUGGCACCUGCUUGGUUUCUGGGGAGGCUUCAGGAAACUUACAAUCAUGGCAAAAGGCAAAGGGAUAGCUAGCAUGUCUCAUGGCCAGAGCAAGAGAAAGGGGGGCAGUGGGAUAAGCUACACAUUACACAACAAGAUGUCAUGAGAACUCACUCACUAUACAAUACCAAGGGGUGAUAGUGCCAACCCAUGAGAACUCUGACCCCGUGAUCCAAUCACCUCCCACCAGGUCCUAUCUCCAACAUUAGGGCUCACAAUUAGACAUGAGAUUUGGGUAGGGCCACAGAUCCGAACCCUAUGAGGCAUCUGGAGUUGGGAGUUCACAGUGUAUAUACUUAAGAGCAAUCUCAACCGUAGACGUAAAUGAGAGUGGGCAGAGUAGGAAGAGAAGGCUAAAGAUGGAACUUGAAGGAGACUCACAUUUAAGAAGCAAGAGGAAUAAGUAGGGUGAGGGGCAGUGAGGAAUACUCAGAGAAAUGAAAGCAGAAGUAAGAAAGAGCCAGUCUCCGAAGUUAGAGGAGGGAAGAGUUUCAAGGAGGAAGUGACCUCCACCACCAAACGCAGCUAAGAGGUCAAAGGUAAGACACAAGAAAUAGUUGCUUCAAAAUGACAUAUGCUCUGAGUGUUAUGAGUUAUUUUUUCUCAAAGGAUUAUUUGUAAUGAUGUGUAUAUUCUAAAGUUCUUAAAUUUAACGUGGUAUAAGUUGCAACAAGGCAAUUUAUAAGGCUAAAAAUCUAGACACAGUGUCCACUUUGUAUUUGAACUUCUGCUUUGAACAAUUUUUAAGCCCCAUCCAGAUUUCUGUCCUCUUCCCACAAUGCUAUUUGGCCUCUCAUUUCUCUGCAUGUGUGGAAUUAGUUAUUUUGGUAAUUUUUACUGCCACUCAUAUCAGUAAAAAUAUCAGUAUAGGUUAAGUCUAAUUUAUUUUUAUAUGCUACUUAACUUCAAUGAAAUGUUAACCCCAAUUUUUGUAAAGGCUAGAAUAGCUAAUUAAGCAAAUAGGACAUGUUGGAGCCCUAUUAUCAAGUAAAAAUAUUGCUGCCAUACCUGGAACAAAUUCAUUUAUUUGCUAAAUAAAUGUUGACUAUUGAGCUGAUCAACUAAAACAUGUUUUGAAUUACCUCUGGAUUCUGUCUUUUGGAGAAUUCCACAUAAAAACCAUCAAAAGGGAGGAAAAAUUAAGCUAGAAAUACCGAAUGUUACAGAUGCCUUUCUCUUCCUUCAUAGUUUCCUUUAUUUAUUUAUUUAUUUAUUUAUUUAUUUAUUUAUUUAUUUAUUUAUUUUGAGAUGAAGUCUUGCUCUGUUGUCCAGGCGGAGUGCAGUGGCAUGAUGUCAGCCCACUAUAACCUCCUUCUCUUGGGUUCAAGACAUUGUCCAGCCUCAACCUCCCAAGUAGCUGAGAUUACAGGCAUGUGCCACCAUGCCCAGCUAAUUUUUUUGUAUUUUUAGUAGAGACAGGGUUUCACCAUGUUGCUCAGGCUGGUCUCGGACUCCUGACCUCAAAUGAUCCAUCCACUCCGGCCUCCCAAAGUGCUGGAAUUACAGGCAUCAUGAGCUACUGCACCCGGCCCCUUAGUAGUUUUCUAAUGUUUAGCUAAUCAUGAGCACAAUUGUUUGCCAGUUUCUGUCUUCUUUGUCUUUUAAACAACUAUUUUAUUGAAAGGAUUUCAGAUUCAUUAUUUCAUGGAGUGCAGUGGCGUGAUCUCAGCCCAAAAAUAGCUGGAGCCUCCCAGGUACAAGCCAUUCUCCUGCCUCAGCCUCCUGAGUAGUUGGGAUUACAGGCACCUAUCACCAUGCCCAGCUAAUUUUUGUACUUUUAGUAGAAACGGGGUUUUGCUAUGUUGGCCAAGCUGGUUUCGAACUCCUGGCCUCAGAUGAUCUGCCCAACUUGGCCUCCCAAAGUGUUAGGAUUACAGGCGUGAGCUACCUUACCUGGCCC